Molecule: small nucleolar RNA, 118 nt
Organism: Plectropomus leopardus (leopard coralgrouper)
Lineage: Eukaryota; Metazoa; Chordata; Actinopteri; Perciformes; Serranidae
Source: RefSeq, a predicted model, not a curated record
CUCCAAUGAUGAUCCAGCCAUGCUAAUACUGAUACACCAGACAGACACUUUUCUGCCUUUGUGCAAGUGAGUGCAACUCACCUUCUCACACUGAUGGUGUCAGUGUGGGCUGAGGAGA